UAGGGGAGCCGCAGGGAAACCGAGUCUUAACUGGGCGUUAAGUUGCAGGGUAUAGACCCGAAACCCGGUGAUCUAGCCAUGGGCAGGUUGAAGGUUGGGUAACACUAACUGGAGGACCGAACCGACUAAUGUUGAAAAAUUAGCGGAUGACUUGUGGCUGGGGGUGAAAGGCCAAUCAAACCGGGAGAUAGCUGGUUCUCCCCGAAAGCUAUUUAGGUAGCGCCUCGUGA
RNAcentral lists this ribosomal RNA (230 nucleotides) under Klebsiella pneumoniae. RNAcentral describes it as "partial 23S ribosomal RNA". It matches the Rfam family "Bacterial large subunit ribosomal RNA", at positions 658 to 887 of the family's 2925-position model. The record is from RNAcentral. Lineage: Bacteria; Pseudomonadati; Pseudomonadota; Gammaproteobacteria; Enterobacterales; Enterobacteriaceae.